Molecule: transfer RNA, 74 nt
Filed under: Tengunoibacter tsumagoiensis
Lineage: Bacteria; Bacillati; Chloroflexota; Ktedonobacteria; Ktedonobacterales; Dictyobacteraceae
Also listed under: 1 other name
Description: tRNA-Gly
Rfam family: tRNA
About the family: Transfer RNA (tRNA) molecules are approximately 80 nucleotides in length.
Source: RNAcentral
GCGGGAGUGGCUCAGUGGUAGAGCAUCUCCUUGCCAAGGAGAAAGUCGCGGGUUCGAUCCCCGUCUCCCGCUCC